Molecule: small nuclear RNA, 107 nt
Organism: Suncus etruscus (white-toothed pygmy shrew)
Lineage: Eukaryota; Metazoa; Chordata; Mammalia; Eulipotyphla; Soricidae
Source: RefSeq, a predicted model, not a curated record
AUGCUCACUUCGACAGCACAUAUACUACAAUUGGAAUGAUAAAGAGAAGAUUAGGAUGGCCCCUGCACAAGAAUAACACGAAAAUUCGGGGAGCAUUCCAUAUUUAA